Molecule: ribosomal RNA, 255 nt
Filed under: Escherichia coli
Lineage: Bacteria; Pseudomonadati; Pseudomonadota; Gammaproteobacteria; Enterobacterales; Enterobacteriaceae
Description: partial 23S ribosomal RNA
Rfam family: Bacterial large subunit ribosomal RNA
Source: RNAcentral
UACUUGGUGUUACUGCGAAGGGGGGACGGAGAAGGCUAUGUUGGCCGGGCGACGGUUGUCCCGGUUUAAGCGUGUAGGCUGGUUUUCCAGGCAAAUCCGGAAAACCAAGGCUGAGGCGUGAUGACGAAGCACUACGGUGCUGAAGCGACAAAUGCCCUGCUUCCAGGAAAAGCCUCUAAGCAUCAGGUAACAUCAAAUCGUACCCCAAACCGACACAGGUGGUCAGGUAGAGAAUACCAAGGCGCUUGAGAGAAC